CGUAUCACCCAAGACAACUUUGCGGAGUUGACGAUUGACGGAGCGAAGCGACGUCAAAGCGUUCAUUAAAGUCGAGUUGGCUUAGGGAUACGUUCGUUGGGUAGGGGAGCGUUCUGUAAGCCUGUGAAGGUGGCCUGUGAGGGUUGCUGGAGGUAUCAGAAGUGCGAAUGCUGACAUAAGUAACGAUAAAGCGGGUGAAAAGCCCGCUCGCCGGAAGACCAAGGGUUCCUGUCCAACGUUAAUCGGGGCAGGGUGAGUCGACCCCUAAGGCGAGGCCGAAAGGCGUAGUCGAUGGGAAACGGGUUAAUAUUCCCGUACUUGGUGUUACUGCGAAGGGGGGACGGAGAAGGCUAUGUUGGCCGGGCGACGGUUGUCCCGGUUUAAGCGUGUAGGUGUGUGUUCCAGGUAAAUCCGGUUCACUUUAACACUGAGGCGUGAUGACGAGGCACUACGGUGCUGAAGCAACAAAUGCCCUGCUUCCAGGAAAAGCCUCUAAGCAUCAGGUAACACGAAAUCGUACCCCAAACCGACACAGGUGGUCAGGUAGAGAAUACCAAGGCGCUUGAGAGAACUCGGGUGAAGGAACUAGGCAAAAUGGUGCCGUAACUUCGGGAGAAGGCACGCUGACACGUAGGUGAAGUGAUUUACUCAUGGAGCUGAAGUCAGUCGAAGAUACCAGCUGGCUGCAACUGUUUAUUAAAAACACAGCACUGUGCAAACACGAAAGUGGACGUAUACGGUGUGACGCCUGCCCGGUGCCGGAAGGUUAAUUGAUGGGGUCAGCGCAAGCGAAGCUCCUGAUCGAAGCCCCGGUAAACGGCGGCCGUAACUAUAACGGUCCUAAGGUAGCGAAAUUCCUUGUCGGGUAAGUUCCGACCUGCACGAAUGGCGUAAUGAUGGCCAGGCUGUCUCCACCCGAGACUCAGUGAAAUUGAACUCGCUGUGAAGAUGCAGUGUACCCGCGGCAAGACGGAAAGACCCCGUGAACCUUUACUAUAGCUUGACACUGAACAUUGAGCCUUGAUGUGUAGGAUAGGUGGGAGGCUUUGAAGUGUGGACGCCAGUCUGCAUGGAGCCGACCUUGAAAUACCACCCUUUAAUGUUUGAUGUUCUAACGUGGACCCGUAAUCCGGGUUGCGGACAGUGUCUGGUGGGUAGUUUGACUGGGGCGGUCUCCUCCUAAAGAGUAACGGAGGAGCACGAAGGUUGGCUAAUCCUGGUCGGACAUCAGGAGGUUAGUGCAAUGGCAUAAGCCAGCUUGACUGCGAGCGUGACGGCGCGAGCAGGUGCGAAAGCAGGUCAUAGUGAUCCGGUGGUUCUGAAUGGAAGGGCCAUCGCUCAACGGAUAAAAGGUACUCCGGGGAUAACAGGCUGAUACCGCCCAAGAGUUCAUAUCGACGGCGGUGUUUGGCACCUCGAUGUCGGCUCAUCACAUCCUGGGGCUGAAGUAGGUCCCAAGGGUAUGGCUGUUCGCCAUUUAAAGUGGUACGCGAGCUGGGUUUAGAACGUCGUGAGACAGUUCGGUCCCUAUCUGCCGUGGGCGCUGGAGAACUGAGGGGGGCUGCUCCUAGUACGAGAGGACCGGAGUGGACGCAUCACUGGUGUUCGGGUUGUCAUGCCAAUGGCACUGCCCGGUAGCUA
This 1641-nucleotide ribosomal RNA is filed under the name Salmonella enterica. RNAcentral describes it as "partial 23S ribosomal RNA". It matches the Rfam family "Bacterial large subunit ribosomal RNA", at positions 1154 to 2751 of the family's 2925-position model. The record is from RNAcentral. Lineage: Bacteria; Pseudomonadati; Pseudomonadota; Gammaproteobacteria; Enterobacterales; Enterobacteriaceae.